UGGUGGAGUGAUUUGUCUGGUUAAUUCCGAUAACGAACGAGACCUUAACCUGCUAAAUAGUCACGCUAACUUUUGUUGGCGGCAGACUUCUUAGAGGGACUAUUGACGUUUAGUCAAUGGAAGUUUGAGGCAAUAACA
This 138-nucleotide ribosomal RNA is filed under the name uncultured eukaryote. Its description in RNAcentral is "partial 18S ribosomal RNA". It matches the Rfam family "Eukaryotic small subunit ribosomal RNA", at positions 1299 to 1458 of the family's 1831-position model. The record is from RNAcentral.